RNAcentral lists this ribosomal RNA (484 nucleotides) under uncultured bacterium. RNAcentral's name for it is "partial 16S ribosomal RNA". It matches the Rfam family "Bacterial small subunit ribosomal RNA", at positions 30 to 507 of the family's 1533-position model. The record is from RNAcentral.
AUUGAACGCUGGCGGCAGGCCUAACACAUGCAAGUCGAGCGGAUGAAGGGAGCUUGCUCCUGGAUUCAGCGGCGGACGGGUGAGUAAUGCCUAGGAAUCUGCCUGGUAGUGGGGGAUAACGUCCGGAAACGGGCGCUAAUACCGCAUACGUCCUGAGGGAGAAAGUGGGGGAUCUUCGGACCUCACGCUCUCAGAUGAGCCUAGGUCGGAUUAGCUAGUUGGUGGGGUAAAGGCCUACCAAGGCGACGAUCCGUAACUGGUCUGAGCGGAUGAUCAGUCACACUGGAACGGAGACAGGGUCCAUACUACUACGGGAGGCAGCAGUGGGGAAUAUUAGACAGUGGGCGAAAGCCUUAUCCAGCCAUGCCGCGUGUGUGAAGAAGGUCUUCGGAGUGGAAAGCACGUUAAGUGGGGAGGAAGGGCAGUAAGUUAAUACCUUGCUGGUUUGACGUUACCAACAGAAUAAGCACCGGCUAACUUCGUG